Molecule: transfer RNA, 74 nt
Filed under: Actinomycetota bacterium
Lineage: Bacteria; Bacillati; Actinomycetota
Also listed under: 1 other name
Description: Actinobacteria bacterium tRNA-Met
Rfam family: tRNA
About the family: Transfer RNA (tRNA) molecules are approximately 80 nucleotides in length. Their secondary structure includes four short double-helical elements and three loops (D, anti-codon, and T loops).
Source: RNAcentral
GGCGGCGUAGCUCAGUUGGUCAGAGCACUCGGCUCAUAAUCGAGGUGUCGCCGGUUCGAUCCCGGCCGCCGCCA